GUGGAUGAUGGUUGUUUCUGUUUCCUCCCAACACAUAUACUGGGAUGGAGAUCCCCCCUGAGUUAUAUCCUCAUAGGGAUGAGUCUUGUUUCAUCGCGCCUCUCUAGUUUGUUCCUAGGUUGGCCUUUUGCGUCCUUCCUGGCGUUUCCCCGUGGUUUAAAUGAAUGAUUGCUCAGUAACCAGUAGUUUCCAUCUUUUCCUCGGCGGAGUCUGUGGUUUUCUACCCUUAUACCGGUAGUUGUAAAU
This 246-nucleotide long non-coding RNA is filed under the name Lathyrus oleraceus (garden pea). RNAcentral's name for it is "Pisum sativum (pea) long non-coding RNA (PSAT_LNC014984)". Lineage: Eukaryota; Viridiplantae; Streptophyta; Magnoliopsida; Fabales; Fabaceae. The record is from RNAcentral.